UGUUGAAUGUGAUGUGCCUUCCUCAUGGACAAAGGUGGGAGAUCUGUGCUGCAUCCACUGUCUCCGACAGCCCAAAGGAAAGCUCAAUCUUAUUGAUACAAUGAACUGACAGAUUCAUACAGAAAGGGCUUAUAUCUCUUUCUCCAUUCCAUUUCAAAAAGUCCUACGGAAGGUUUCUGAUUGUUCUGACCUCACAAUCCAAUUGGAAAUUGAAUUGACUGGGAGGCAGAUGGAAGAAAAAUAUGAUUGGCAAUUUCCACUAAGGGGUGUUGAAGGAGAUGAGGAAUAUGGAAGUGGAACCCCAAACUAUAACAAGAGUGAUGCAUAUUUUACCAGAAGAUUACUGAGAGACAGAGAGGUGAAUAAGUUGCUCCCUUUGGCCGUAUGAAUUGGGUAUGGUUUAAAAUAGUGGUUGUUAAAGUGGGUUGUAUAAGAUGAUCCAUUAAGUGU
Lemur catta (Ring-tailed lemur) is the source of this 450-nucleotide long non-coding RNA. RefSeq lists it as uncharacterized. NCBI's taxonomy places the organism in Eukaryota, Metazoa, Chordata, Mammalia, Primates, Lemuridae. The record is from RefSeq and is a predicted model, not a curated record. The transcript is spliced from 3 exons.